This 468-nucleotide ribosomal RNA is filed under the name uncultured bacterium. RNAcentral's name for it is "partial 16S ribosomal RNA". It matches the Rfam family "Bacterial small subunit ribosomal RNA", at positions 28 to 507 of the family's 1533-position model. The record is from RNAcentral.
GACGAACGCUGGCGGCGUGCUUAACACAUGCAAGUCGAACGGUGAAGCUCCAGUUUGCUGGAGUGGAUCAGUGGCGAACGGGUGAGUAACACGUGAGAAACCUGCCUCUGACUCUGGAAUAAGCGCUGGAAACGGCGUCUUAUACUGGAUACGAGAAGGGUGCGCAUGGGCACUUUCUGGAAAGUUUUUCGGUUGGGGGUGGGCUCGCGGCCUAUCAGCUUGUUGGUGAGGUAAUGGCUCACCAAGGCGACGACGGGUAGCCGGCCUGAGAGGGCGACCGGCCACACUGGGACUGAGACACGGCCCAGACUCCUACGGGAGGCAGCAGUGGGGAAUAUUGCACAAUGGGCGAAAGCCUGAUGCAGCGACGCCGCGUGAGGGAUGACGGCCUUCGGGUUGUAAACCUCUUUCAGCAGGGAAGAAGCGAAAGUGACGGUACCUGCAGAAGAAGCACCGGCUAACUACGUG